Molecule: long non-coding RNA, 1245 nt
Organism: Prosopis cineraria
Lineage: Eukaryota; Viridiplantae; Streptophyta; Magnoliopsida; Fabales; Fabaceae
Exons: 3
Source: RefSeq, a predicted model, not a curated record
CUUUCACAGAUCACAAAUUUCACUGAGAGUAAUUCAUCAUACCAGAAGAAAAAACCAUAAAAGUGCAAGGGACAGUCAUAAUACCCACGAAGAUGUAACAGGGGGCACCCAAAUUAAUAUUCCUUAUUCAUCGAUUCGUCGAAACGCCAGACAACCGAGAAAGGAAAUCUCCCAGGAACCCCAAAAAUCUCAGAUUCUUUGCUUGCUUCCUUUUUCAUCCUGCUUCGUUUUCGGGUUGGGAAUGGUGGGAUGGUUUUUUCGUAAGAUGGUCGAGUUCAGAUCUGAGGACGAUCAUUCUUGUUAACGCAACAAUUAUAUAGUUAGUGUUAAGAGAGUAAACACAAGAAUCUUGGUCGAGGACUUUGCUAGAUAUCCUCUGCCCAAAUUUUCCCCUGCUUUUAAUUAAGCCUAUAAUGUUUCAUUUCGUCCUUAUCUAUAAGGAAUGCUUUAAUACACUGUAUCUGGACUCCAAUCAUGUGAAAAUACUUCCUUAUCCACAAAAACAGGUGGAUAAGAUGAUUGAUGAUAUCACAACCUACAGGCUUGCUAUCCUGAGAUUGGCGUGUCUAGUCAUGCGGGAAAGCACAGUGGCUUGUUCCAUAUUAAGCGGGGAACUGAAGUGGUUAGUUUGUUUCUAUAACAAAGUUAUUGAAGGAAAUAUAGCAACACAGUUCAAUGUUUACCUUGAGCAAGUUGUUACUUCUCUCUCCACUUUUCGAGAGCAGACAUUUGAGUGACAUGAUAGUCCGGACCCUGGACUGCCAUGAGCAUAAAAUUCUUGAACGUUGCUGUAAACAUGGCAUGAGUGAGAUCAGAAAUUUCCAAAAGAAAGCAGAGGCAUGGAUGUGUGACGGAGGUAGAGAAGUUUUCCAGGUUAAAUAGUGCAGUUGCCAGUUGGUGCCGAGGAAUGAGAAUGUUAAAAGACAUUAUAAAUUAUUGUGACUGCUACAAUGUCAUCGCAUCUGCUAAAUAUGGCACGUAAUGUCAACUCCUUGGGCUUAUCUCUUUGCCUGCAAGGUUCUUCUGCUCAGUCAAAUUCGUGGGUUCAGGGAAAGCUUGCAAUACUCCUUCCUUUUUUUUAAUUUUACUCGUAGCCUAGGCUUUCCUUACAAAAAAAGAGACAUACACACCCUCGUUGACACACAACUGUAUCGAUAUUGGGUUAGAACUGACAUUAUUACUGGGACAUCUAACUGUUGACAACAACACUCCUUCCUUGUGCCGAGGGGAAUGUGGAAUAAAAUC